UUUUGCUAAAGAUGGCCAUUAUGGGCUUGAGGACCUCUCCGAGUCUGGUUAUGAAGUUGUGAGUCUUGACUGGACCACAGAUCCACGUUCAGCACGUAUCAGGACUGGAGGAAAAGUUAGUUUGCAAGGCAACAUGGAUCCCUGCGCUCUUUAUGCCACAAAGGAGCGCAUAUCAGAGAUUGUGAAGAGGAUGUUGGAGAGCUUCGGCACCAAGGGCUACAUCGCUAAUCUGGGUCACGGCCUCUACCCUGAUAUGGACCCAGAAAAUGUGGGUGCGUUUGUUGAGGCCGUUCACACCCAUUCUCGCCAGCUCCUCAACCGCAAAUAAGAGGUUACUCUCCCAUCAGAAGACCCUCCAAAACACAAGAGAAGCAACAACUGUUGGUGUGCACCGCUUUAUCGUUAGAUAUGUUACAGGGUGAACCUCUCUCAAAAUCUGUCAAGAAAAUGUCCAGUUCUAUUUCACUCCAAAAUGAAAAGAAAUAAGAAAAUAGUUUUGGCUUAACGAGGAAGGACCAUUAAGGCUUUACAUUUCACAUUUCCCUCCCAAAUUCUCUUUACCAUACACUCGUAAGAAUGGUUCUAAACAGUACCAGAAAAGGGUCCUUCAGCUUGUAACAA
This is a long non-coding RNA of Sinocyclocheilus grahami, 621 nucleotides long. RefSeq lists it as uncharacterized. Lineage: Eukaryota; Metazoa; Chordata; Actinopteri; Cypriniformes; Cyprinidae. The record is from RefSeq and is a predicted model, not a curated record. The transcript has 3 exons.